AACGAACGCUGGCGGCAGGCUUAACACAUGCAAGUCGAGCGCCCCGCAAGGGGAGCGGCAGACGGGUGUGUAACGCGUGGGAAUCUACCGAGCCCUAAGGAAUAGCUCCGGGAAACUGGAAUUAAUACCUUAUACGCCCUUCGGGGGAAAGAUUUAUCGGGGUUUGAUGAGCCCGCGUUGGAUUAGCUAGUUGGUGGGGUAAAGGCCUACCAAGGCGACGAUCCAUAGCUGGUCUGAGAGGAUGAUCAGCCACAUUGGGACUGAGACACGGCCCAAACUCCUACGGGAGGCAGCAGUGGGGAAUAUUGGACAAUGGGCGCAAGCCUGAUCCAGCCAUGCCGCGUGAGUGAUGAAGGCCCUAGGGUUGUAAAGCUCUUUCACCGGUGAAGAUAAUGACGGUAACCGGAGAAGAAGCCCCGGCUAACUUCGUGCCAGCCGCCGCAGUAA
This 447-nucleotide ribosomal RNA is filed under the name uncultured bacterium. RNAcentral describes it as "partial 16S ribosomal RNA". It matches the Rfam family "Bacterial small subunit ribosomal RNA", at positions 29 to 523 of the family's 1533-position model. The record is from RNAcentral.